AGUCCUGUAUAGAAAUAUAUUUCUGCUCAUAAAAUGAUUUUGCUCUGUGCAGACAUCAGUGGAACCUAACUGUGUGCUCCAGAUUUUUCAUGUGUUUUCUUGGUAAUUUCUUGAACGGGACCGUUACUGGGUGUUUUGCUGAAGCAUAUUCUCAACCAACCCAGAGAUCUCCUGACAGAUAUGUUAUUUCUGUCUUACUUAUAUUGUGGUGUUUCAAUGGAGAAAUGAUUUAAACUUCUCAGAGGACACCGGGAAGACUAAGAGUGAUAUGAAGAACUUCCUUGACUUUUCAGUGCUGAUACAGAGUACUCGGAAAAAUCAAUACAGCUUCUCCAGGAUAUCAACUCUGCAGAUUCCUACAGAAGAGCAAGAGACAAAGAGAAAGAAUAAUAGGGCUAGACUCAGAGGAGAAAUCAUCAUUGUCCUUCAGAAUCCAACCUUAAGUGAAAAGCUUGCUUCCCUGAUGGGAGCUGGAUUCUCUUAAGAGCCAAG
RNAcentral lists this long non-coding RNA (492 nucleotides) under Anser brachyrhynchus (Pink-footed goose). RNAcentral's name for it is "lncRNA (ENSABRG00000004979.1)". Lineage: Eukaryota; Metazoa; Chordata; Aves; Anseriformes; Anatidae. The record is from RNAcentral.